UAUCUGCCUUUCGGUGAGGAAUACCGGCGAGAAAUCGCCGACAAUACCGCAUACGAUGGCAACAUCAAAGCUUCGCAAGAGGCGCCGGAAGAUGAUCCUGCGGCUGAUUAGCUGGUUGGUGAGGUUAUAGCUCACCAAGGCGACGAUCAGUAGCUGGUCUGAGAGGACGAUCAGCCACACUGGGAUUGAGAACGGCCCAG
RNAcentral lists this ribosomal RNA (200 nucleotides) under uncultured bacterium. RNAcentral's name for it is "partial 16S ribosomal RNA". It matches the Rfam family "Bacterial small subunit ribosomal RNA", at positions 123 to 334 of the family's 1533-position model. The record is from RNAcentral.